RNAcentral lists this unclassified non-coding RNA (537 nucleotides) under Geosmithia sp. CCF3355. RNAcentral's name for it is "sequence contains 18S rRNA gene, ITS1, 5.8S rRNA gene, ITS2, 28S rRNA gene". The stretch from base 196 to 349 matches the Rfam family "5.8S ribosomal RNA". The record is from RNAcentral. Lineage: Eukaryota; Fungi; Ascomycota; Sordariomycetes; Hypocreales; Bionectriaceae.
GAUCAUUACUGAGUUACAAACUCCAAACCUUUGUGAACAUACCACAGUUGUUUCGGCGGCCUCGCCCCGGGCGCGGCGGGACCCCCCCUCGCGGGGGGGGGGGAACGCGGCGACCCGGACCCAGGCGACCGCCGGGGGACCCAAACUCUUGUCUUUUUAGUGUAUUAUCUGAGUGGCAUAAGCAAAAUAAAUUAAAACUUUCAGCAACGGAUCUCUUGGUUCUGGCAUCGAUGAAGAACGCAGCGAAAUGCGAUAAGUAAUGUGAAUUGCAGAAUUCAGUGAAUCAUCGAAUCUUUGAACGCACAUUGCGCCCGCCAGUACUCUGGCGGGCAUGCCUGUCCGAGCGUCAUUUCAACCCUCAGCACCCCCGUCCGCGGCGGGAGCUGGCGUUGGGGAUCGGCCGUCCUCUGCGGCGGCCGGCCCCGAAACGAAGUGGCGGUCACGUCGCGACCUCCUCUGCGUAGUAGCAAUAUCUCGCAGCCUGGAUAGCGGCGCGGCCACGCCGUAAAACCCCAACUCUUUCAAAGGUUGACCUCG